Molecule: ribosomal RNA, 454 nt
Filed under: uncultured beta proteobacterium
Lineage: Bacteria; Pseudomonadati; Pseudomonadota; Betaproteobacteria
Description: bacterial LSU rRNA
Rfam family: Bacterial large subunit ribosomal RNA
Source: RNAcentral
GACAAGUGAAUAAGUGCACAUGGUGGAUGCCUUGGCGAUUACAGGCGAUGAAGGACGUUGUAGCUUGCGAUAAGCUGCGGGGAGUGAGCAAACACACUUUGAUCCGCAGAUUUCCGAAUGGGGAAACCCGGCCUUUUAGGUCAUCGUUAUCUGAAUACAUAGGGUAACGAAGCGAACGCGGCGAACUGAAACAUCUAAGUAGCUGCAGGAAAAGAAAUCAACCGAGAUUCCCAAAGUAGUGGCGAGCGAAAUGGGAUGAGCCUUGUACGUGAUAGUCGAUCGGAUAGUGGAGGCCUCUGGAAAUAGGCGCCAUAGCGGGUGAUAGCCCCGUACACGAAAUCCGAACGGUGGUACCAAGCGUACGACAAGUAGGGCGGGACACGUGAAAUCCUGUCUGAAGAUGGGGGGACCAUCCUCCAAGGCUAAAUACUCGUAAUCGACCGAUAGUACCGUG